GACGAACGCUGGCGGCGUGCUUAACACAUGCAAGUCGAACGGUGAAGCGAGUGCUUGCACUCGUGGAUCAGUGGCGAACGGGUGAGUAACACGUGAAUAACCUGCCCAUCACUCUGGGAUAAGCACUGGAAACGGUGUCUAAUACUGGAUACGACCAACCCUUGCAUGGGGUGUUGGUGGAAAGAUUUAUCGGUGAUGGAUGGACUCGCGGCCUAUCAGCUUGUUGGCGGGGUAAUGGCCCACCAAGGCGACGACGGGUAGCCGGCCUGAGAGGGUGACCGGCCACACUGGGACUGAGACACGGCCCAGACUCCUACGGGAGGCAGCAGUGGGGAAUAUUGCACAAUGGGCGAAAGCCUGAUGCAGCGACGCCGCGUGAGGGAUGACGGCCUUCGGGUUGUAAACCUCUUUCAGCAGGGAAGAAGCGAAAGUGACGGUACCUGCAGAAGAAGCACCGGCUAACUACGUG
RNAcentral lists this ribosomal RNA (469 nucleotides) under uncultured bacterium. RNAcentral's name for it is "partial 16S ribosomal RNA". It matches the Rfam family "Bacterial small subunit ribosomal RNA", at positions 28 to 507 of the family's 1533-position model. The record is from RNAcentral.